UUAACAAGAAUGUUUGGGGCAAAUCCCAGUGGGAAAGUCUGCUUCGGCAGACUACUAAACAUCCUGACC
RNAcentral lists this non-coding RNA (69 nucleotides) under unclassified sequences. RNAcentral describes it as "DUF3800-II RNA". It matches the Rfam family "DUF3800-II RNA". The record is from Rfam by way of RNAcentral.